This 158-nucleotide ribosomal RNA is filed under the name Barbatosphaeria sp. RNAcentral's name for it is "partial large subunit ribosomal RNA". It matches the Rfam family "Eukaryotic large subunit ribosomal RNA", at positions 99 to 261 of the family's 3401-position model. The record is from RNAcentral. Lineage: Eukaryota; Fungi; Ascomycota; Sordariomycetes; Barbatosphaeriales; Barbatosphaeriaceae.
CGGCAACAGCUCAAAUUUGAAAUCUGGCCCUAGGCCCGAGUUGUAAUUUGUAGAGGAUGCUUUUGGCACGGUGCCUUCUGAGUUCCCUGGAACGGGACGCCACAGAGGGUGAGAGCCCCGUAUAGUCGGACACCUAGCCUCUGUAUAGCACCUUCGAC